This 21-nucleotide non-coding RNA is filed under the name Caenorhabditis elegans. The record is from RNAcentral. Lineage: Eukaryota; Metazoa; Nematoda; Chromadorea; Rhabditida; Rhabditidae.
UGCCCCCAUUAAAACGGAUUU